This 469-nucleotide ribosomal RNA is filed under the name uncultured bacterium. RNAcentral describes it as "bacterial SSU rRNA". It matches the Rfam family "Bacterial small subunit ribosomal RNA", at positions 335 to 799 of the family's 1533-position model. The record is from RNAcentral.
ACUCCUACGGGAGGCAGCAGUGGGGAAUAUUGCACAAUGGGGGAAACCCUGAUGCAGCCAUGCCGCGUGUGUGAAGAAGGCCUUCGGGUUGUAAAGCACUUUCAGUAGGGAGGAAGGUAGUGUAGUUAACACCUGCACUAUUUGACGUUACCUACAGAAGAAGCACCGGCUAACUCCGUGCCAGCAGCCGCGGUAAUACGGAGGUGCGAGCGUUAAUCGGAAUUACUGGGCGUAAAGCGCAUGCAGGCGGCCUGUUAAGUCAGAUGUGAAAGCCCGGGGCUUAACCUCGGAAUUGCAUUUGAAACUGGCAGGCUAGAGUCUUGUAGAGGGGUUAGAAUUUCAGGUGUAGCGGUGAAAUGCGUAGAGAUCUGAAGGAAUACCAGUGGCGAAGCGGCCCCUGGACAAAGACUGACGCUCAGAUGCGAAAGCGUGGGAGCAAACAGGAUUAGAUACCCCUGGUAGGAUAGCG